CGAAGGGGCGUAGCGUUGUUCGGAUUUACUGGGCGUAAAGGGUACGCAGGCGGCAUGUCAAGUUGGGGGUGGAAAUCCCGGGGCGUCAACCCCGGAACUGCCUCCAAAACUAGGCAAGCUAGAGAUCGAGAGAGGUGAGUGGAAUUCCUAGUGUAGAGGUGAAAUUCGUAGAUAUUAGGAGGAACACCGGUGGCGAAGGCGGCUCACUGGCUCGAUACUGACGCUCAUGUACGAAAGCGUGGGGAGCAAACAGGAUU
RNAcentral lists this ribosomal RNA (257 nucleotides) under uncultured bacterium. Its description in RNAcentral is "partial 16S ribosomal RNA". It matches the Rfam family "Bacterial small subunit ribosomal RNA", at positions 526 to 779 of the family's 1533-position model. The record is from RNAcentral.